CGUAGCUACUAGUCAGUUCAGAUAAAACAAAAUUGUUUUUGUGAAGAAGAAACCAUAAGAGGCAGCAGCAUUUAAGCACUCCAUAGAGAACAACACAUAAAAGCCAGGGUCUGCAAAAGCAUUUCCCAACAUAUAGCAGCAUUCCUCAGCUCUGCUGUGUGCAGUGAUGGCUAUAUUACUUCCUAAGUAAGUCUAAGGCAGGACAUGACAGCAAGUCACUGAACAAUUCCAACUGGAGAUAACCUCAAGUCAGUCACUAACCCUGGGGUCUGGAGCUUUUUGGAUACAUUUGGUGUCAUUGUCAUAGCUGUGGGAUCCACAGCCUUGUCUCUGUGUUAUCUAAAUUUCUGGAUAAAGACUAAAAGUGAGUUUGAACUGUCUACAGGAAAGAACAGCCUCAGAUAAUUCCCAGGACUGUUUUCCUUGUAACACCCUGCUCUGAGAGAGAUCUCUCAUGCAAAUCAGGGGAACUCCAUUUUGAACUGCUGAUUAAAUAUUACAAACUGCUUCUAGAGGCUUCAUAUCCAAGAUCUGGAAAUAACCACUGCUCCUGUAUGUACCUUUAUGCCCUUUGAAU
RNAcentral lists this long non-coding RNA (577 nucleotides) under Numida meleagris (helmeted guineafowl). Its description in RNAcentral is "lncRNA (ENSNMEG00000009454.1)". Lineage: Eukaryota; Metazoa; Chordata; Aves; Galliformes; Numididae. The record is from RNAcentral.